RNAcentral lists this ribosomal RNA (497 nucleotides) under uncultured bacterium. RNAcentral's name for it is "partial 16S ribosomal RNA". It matches the Rfam family "Bacterial small subunit ribosomal RNA", at positions 28 to 507 of the family's 1533-position model. The record is from RNAcentral.
GAUGAACGCUGGCGGCGUGCCUAAUACAUGCAAGUCGAGCGAACGGACGAGAAGCUUGCUUCUCUGAUGUUAGCGGCGGACGGGUGAGUAACACGUGGAUAACCUACCUAUAAGACUGGGAUAACUUCGGGAAACCGUAGCUAAUACCGGAUAAUAUUUUGAAUCGCAUGGUUCAAAAGUGAAAGACGGUCUUGCUGUCACUUAUAGAUGGAUCCGCGCUGCAUUAGCUAGUUGGUAAGGUAACGGCUUACCAAGGCAACGAUGCAUAGCCGACCUGAGAGGGUGAUCGGCCACACUGGAACUGAGACACGGUCCAGACUCCUACGGGAGGCAGCAGUAGGGAAUCUUCCGCAAUGGGCGAAAGCCUGACGGAGCAACGCCGCGUGAGUGAUGAAGGUCUUCGGAUCGUAAAACUCUGUUAUUAGGGAAGAACAUAUGUGUAAGUAACUGUGCACAUCUUGACGGUACCUAAUCAGAAAGCCACGGCUAACUACGUA